UGGUGGAGUGAUUUGUCUGGUUAAUUCCGUUAACGAACGAGACCUUAACCUGCUUAAUAGUUACACGUAACUUCGGUUACGUGGGCAACUUCUUAGAGGGACUUUGCGUGUCUAACGCAAGGAAGUUUGAGGCAAUAACA
This 140-nucleotide ribosomal RNA is filed under the name uncultured eukaryote. RNAcentral's name for it is "partial 18S ribosomal RNA". It matches the Rfam family "Eukaryotic small subunit ribosomal RNA", at positions 1299 to 1458 of the family's 1831-position model. The record is from RNAcentral.